AAGACCUAGCAUCUACGUUUAACAAAUUUAAGAUCCAACAGAUAUCCAGAUCGGAGAACUCUAGGGCAGACUUGUUGUCUAAGUUGGUGAUGUUGGUGCCAUCUAAAUUGCCCAAAAAUUUUUUUUUGAGGUGAUGAGCUGACCCAGCGUUGAAGAGCUGACAACCAUAAUGCAGAUAGAUGAGGAACCCUCCUGGAUCGACCUACUAAUCAGUUAUUUUAAGGAAGGGAUGCUGUCCAUG
Molecule: long non-coding RNA, 241 nt
Filed under: Elaeis guineensis (African oil palm)
Lineage: Eukaryota; Viridiplantae; Streptophyta; Magnoliopsida; Arecales; Arecaceae
Description: long non-coding RNA (EGUI_LNC021546)
Source: RNAcentral